UUGCUUUGGUAGCACAUAUACUAAAACUGGAACGAUACAGAGAUUAGCAUGGCCCCUGCGCAAGGAUGACAUGCAAAUUCAUGAAGCAUUCCAUAUUUCU
Molecule: small nuclear RNA, 100 nt
Organism: Otolemur garnettii (small-eared galago)
Lineage: Eukaryota; Metazoa; Chordata; Mammalia; Primates; Galagidae
Source: Ensembl